ACGCUCGACACCUACGGGAGGAGCAGUGGGGAAUAUUGCACAAUGGGGGAAACCCUGAUGCAGCGACGCCGCGUGAAGGAAGAAGUAUCUCGGUAUGUAAACUUCUAUCAGCAGGGAAGAAAAUGACGGUACCUGACUAAGAAGCCCCGGCUAACUACGUGCAAGCAGCCGCGGUAAUCUGAGCGGGCUGGCAAGGC
RNAcentral lists this ribosomal RNA (197 nucleotides) under uncultured bacterium. RNAcentral describes it as "partial 16S ribosomal RNA". It matches the Rfam family "Bacterial small subunit ribosomal RNA", at positions 328 to 539 of the family's 1533-position model. The record is from RNAcentral.